RNAcentral lists this unclassified non-coding RNA (851 nucleotides) under Bradyrhizobium sp. RNAcentral's name for it is "partial 16S-23S ribosomal RNA intergenic spacer". The stretch from base 723 to 851 matches the Rfam family "Bacterial large subunit ribosomal RNA", at positions 1 to 128 of the family's 2925-position model. Lineage: Bacteria; Pseudomonadati; Pseudomonadota; Alphaproteobacteria; Hyphomicrobiales; Nitrobacteraceae. The record is from RNAcentral.
UCGGAUCGUUUUAGAAACAUCAGUGGCCAACAGAUCGCCAGAUCGUUGAGCUGCAUUGGCGGGAUUUCGCCGUCUUCGUUUCUCUUUCUUCGCGGACGAACACGCGCUGGGCCUGCAACGGCAGGAUCCAGGGUCCUUAACGGGAUGUGCGUUAGGGGCUUGUAGCUCAGUUGGUUAGAGCGCGCGCUUGAUAAGCGUGAGGUCGGAAGUUCAAGUCUUCCCAGGCCCACCACUUUCAUCGAGUGAGCAUUCGUCUUCUGGUUACGGGGCCAUAGCUCAGCUGGGAGAGCGCGUGCUUUGCAAGCAUGAGGUCGUCGGUUCGAUCCCGUCUGGCUCCACCAGAUGGUUUGAUCACCGAGAUCUUGACCGUCGUCCGCGAAACAUCACUUCGCAUCCUGCUAGUCUGGAUAGACAGCAGUUUGCGUGUUUUCUGACAUCGUAAAGAGGAGAUCGAUCCGAGUUGGGUCGUGCAGCAUAUCGUUGCGCGAGCCUUCAUUAUCUCCGGAUCAUUUCGGCGCUCGCUUCCAGCCGUGAGGUUGGAUGCGGGUUGUAAAUGAUCCUUUUAGCGAAGCUUGACCGCCUCGCUAUCGGAACGAUCUUACGAAGCAAGCUGGUCUUUCUAGUCAAUGUCCGGCUGCAGAUAGCGUUCAUCGAGGGCGCGUGCCGCAAGGCAAUUCUGCAGACAACAUUCUGCCGAGUGUGUGGACAUUGAUAAUGAGAGCAAUCAAGUGCCUUAAGGGUGUUCGGUGGAUGCCUUGGCGCUGAGAGGCGAUGAAGGACGUGCUACGCUGCGAUAAGCCGUGGGGAGCUGCGAAGAAGCUUUGAUCCGCGGAUUUCCGAAGGGGGAAACC